AUCCAACUGAAGAGUUCUAAAUAGAAUGAAACGCAUGUCUUCGAU
Molecule: non-coding RNA, 45 nt
Filed under: Schistosoma haematobium
Lineage: Eukaryota; Metazoa; Platyhelminthes; Trematoda; Strigeidida; Schistosomatidae
Source: RNAcentral